GACGAACGCUGGCGGCGUGCUUAACACAUGCCAGUCGAACGGAAAGGCCCUGCUUUUGUGUGGUGCUCGAGUGGCGAACGGGUGAGUAACACGUGAGUAACCUGCCCUUGACUUUGUGAUAACUUCAGGAAACUGGGGCUAAUACCGGCUAGGAGCUCCUGAUGCAUGGUGGGGGUUGGAAAGUUUCGGCGGUUGGGGAUGGACUCGCGGCUUAUGAGCUUGUUGGUGGGGUAGUGGCUUACCAAGGCGUUGACGGGUAGCCGGCCUGAGAGGGUGACCGGCCACAGUGGGACUGAGGGACGGCCCAGACUGCAACGGGGGGCAGCAGGGGGGAAUAUUGCACAAUGGGCGGAAGCCGGAUGCAGCAACGCCGCGUGCGGAAUGACGGCUUUCGGGUUGGAAACCGCUUUCGCCUGUGACGAAGCGUGAGUGACGGUAAUUGGUAAAGAAGCACCGGCUAACUACGUG
RNAcentral lists this ribosomal RNA (468 nucleotides) under uncultured bacterium. Its description in RNAcentral is "partial 16S ribosomal RNA". It matches the Rfam family "Bacterial small subunit ribosomal RNA", at positions 28 to 507 of the family's 1533-position model. The record is from RNAcentral.